GCAAACUGAAAACUACAAGAGGAAGGUGAGUACUUUUCUAAACAGUUCUUCUCCAUGAAUUGGACUAGUUUAUUCCGAUAAUUUCCAAAGUUCCCCCAUUUGGUUCACAUGGAUGGCUGGUCUGAUGCCAUAAAUUAGAUUUACUGCUGCCACUUGUUAAGGUUUCUUUAUCUGGUUAGUACUCCAUGUGAUUGCUCAAAAAACCAUGUAUUCACCGGAUCUUUCUGUAUUGUGCCCUCAUUUGGUCACAUCGUAUUUAUUUGAUACUUUGUACGUUUAGAUACAUAUGGAGAUUAACUUCACUUCAUGACCUGCAUCAUGCAUGGAGAACAACAUGAUUUUCCCCAGAUAAUUUCAUUCCAAAUGCAUAUUGUUUCCUUGAGAGGUUUUCCCAAUGAAAAUCAGGCUCUGGCACUUAGACAAGCAACAAAAGAGCACUCCCAUAUAUCUCGUCCGUCUGUAGACUCUAACAUGUAUUUUAUAUGUAACCUCUGGCUCUUGUCAUUCGGUGCGUGCUGGUGCACAAUCAUCAGACCUUGGAGCUUGUUCCAUUCGUGUACUAACCAUACUUGCUUUUGCUCCUGAAAUCCACCCCCCCCCCCCCCCCAUACGCAACACACUCCCCUCUCCCACAGCCUCCAUCCCGACACACUCCCCCCUCCCCUCCCCUUAUCAGAAGAGAAGAGGAGGUUUCUAAAGUCAGGUUUCUAUAAAUUUUAGUAAUUACACCUACUGCUCAAUAUUUUACAAUGUAAUAAAUCAUUGAUGCAUGAUAGAUUUUGUUGAUCAAGAUCGCCUUACGUAAUUUGCUUAGUGGAUCUAUUACGUUGACUUGCGUCAUUAUUGGUUUGAGUUUUCUAAAAAGUAUUUUCAUUAAACGGUUUCACAUUUCUAUUAAACCAUGUAACCUAUGAACUAGAUACAUUAUCUGAUAAAAUCUUUAGGUGAAAAGAAUAACCAAAAUAUUGUGUAUACCACCACCAUGUGAGAAGAGAAGAUAGACAAGCAUUGCGUAUUACUAGUCAAUGUACAAAGCUAUAUAGCGAUGUACUUAUGCUUGUUACUAGCAAUAUACAUAGCAUUAUUUUUUUAGGCCUCCCAGUGAGCAGGUGCUAGUAAUCGAUGGCGGCAACGAAAUUGGUAAGAUCCCACUCUCUCACUUGGCCUCUCCCUCCCCUCCACCUCUCUUUAUGUGUGUGCAGUCCACAGGUUUGAACUAUGCAGUAAGUUUUAUAAUAUCUUUAAAAAAUGUGUGCUGCUUUAAUUCAUGGAAAUAGAGAAGCUCUUGAAGAAGUAAUGUCCUUUAUGUGCAGCAGUUAAUUAAGCUUCAUUAUUGUUUUGUAGUUUUGUGAAAAGUACUUUCAUGAACUGGUUACACAUGUUUUUUAUUUUGAUAGCAGGCUUGACAGAAAGUUUUAUUUUCUGUUGUUUAUCAGUGAAUGGUUGGUGAAGUAACGAUUGAAGGAGAUAUUAAAUUGUUCUUUGUGAUAUCAAGUGGCCUGCCUACAAUAAAGGACCAUGAGCAUGUCACUGAUAUGCAAAUACUUUCACUGCUACCUCUUAUUAAUCAUCUGAUUUCUUACUUCUUCCAUUUAUGCAGGAAUGACGUGAAGAGAGUCCUCCCCGUUCUUAAUCAUCUGAUUUCUUACACCUUUCAUUUAUCUCUGCAUAUAGCGAGAGAAGUUACAUGAAACACAAAAGAGGGGAGCUAAAGGUACACCUCUUCCCAUCGGUGAUAAUGAAUUCUCUUUAGUUGCUUUGGUAUGAAAUGAUAUUGAAGGCAGCUUAGAGAAAUUACCAUGUACUCUAGUUAUCGUGCGGAAAUAUUAACCAUGGAGUUUGACUCGUAGAUUUUCAAAGUGGAGUAUGUUCUGCAAUGAGAUGUAGAAGGAAGACUUUGAUUUCAAGUUCUAGAUGAACACAAGAAUCUUGGUGGAAGGCUGUGAGCGUCUGUAUGUAGUUGCCCACUACAAGGAGACAAGGCAAAUGAUGUGCCUCUUUAAGACAAAUUCUAGAAAAUAAAGCGAGUAAUUUUUGCUCUUAGGAAAUGAACCAUAAUGUUUCCUCUACUUAAUUAGUUCCAUUAGUUUAUAGGAAAUUUUGAUGGUCAUUAGUUCAUAACAGAUGAUGUAUUUAUAUGGGAAAAUUAAUGAAUGUGCGUUAUUAUUGUUUCCAUCCGGUUCAAUAUAUUUUUGAUGACAUGCACAUUACUGUUAUGAAUUCUGUAAUUUG
This 2232-nucleotide long non-coding RNA is filed under the name Hordeum vulgare. RNAcentral's name for it is "long non-coding RNA (HVUL_LNC004710)". The record is from RNAcentral. Lineage: Eukaryota; Viridiplantae; Streptophyta; Magnoliopsida; Poales; Poaceae.